CCUACGGGAGGCAGCAGUGGGGAAUUUUGGACAAUGGGCGCAAGCCUGAUCCAGCAAUGCCGCGUGAGUGAAGAAGGCCUUCGGGUUGUAAAGCUCUUUUGUCAGGGAAGAAACGGUGGGGGCUAAUAUCUCCUACUAAUGACGGUACCUGAAGAAUAAGCACCGGCUAACUACGUGCCAGCAGCCGCGGUAAUACGUAGGGUGCAAGCGUUAAUCGGAAUUACUGGGCGUAAAGCGUGCGCAGGCGGUUUUGUAAGUCUGUCGUGAAAGCCCCGGGCUCAACCUGGGAAUUGCGAUGGAGACUGCAAGGCUUGAAUCUGGCAGAGGGGGGUAGAAUUCCACGUGUAGCAGUGAAAUGCGUAGAGAUGUGGAGGAACACCGAUGGCGAAGGCAGCCCCCUGGGUCAAGAUUGACGCUCAUGCACGAAAGCGUGGGGAGCAAACAGGAUUAGAUACCCUGGUAGUCCACGCCCUAAACGAUGUCUACUAGUUGUCGGGUUUUAAUUAACUUGGUAACGCAGCUAACGCGUGAAGUAGACCGCCUGGGGAGUACGGUCGCAAGAUUAAAACUCAAAAUGAAAUUGACGG
This 587-nucleotide ribosomal RNA is filed under the name uncultured bacterium. RNAcentral's name for it is "bacterial SSU rRNA". It matches the Rfam family "Bacterial small subunit ribosomal RNA", at positions 338 to 916 of the family's 1533-position model. The record is from RNAcentral.